AGCAGCCGCGGUAAUUCCAGCUCCAAUAGCGUAUAUUAAAGUUGUUGCAGUUAAAAAGCUCGUAGUUGAACUUCAGGCCUGGCUGGACGGUCCGCCUUCUGGGUGAGUACUGUCUGUGGUCGGGUCCUACCUUCUGGCGAAGCGUCAUGGCCUUCACCGGCCGUGGCGGGGAACCAGGACUUUUACUGUGAAAAAAUUAGAGUGUUCAAAGCAGGCACGCGCUUGAAUACAUUAGCAUGGAAUAAUGGAAUAGGACAGUGGUUCUAUUUGUUGGUUUCUAGGACCGUUGUAAUGAUUAAUAGGGAUAGUUGGGGGCAUUAGUAUUCAAUUGUCAGAGGUGAAAUUCUUGGAUUUAUUGAAGACUAACUACUGCGAAAGCAUUUGCCAAGGAUGUUUUCAUUAAUCAAGAACGAAAGUUAGGGAUCGAAGACGAUCAGAUACCGUCGUAGUCUUAACCAUAAACUAUGACCGACUAGGGAUCGGAUGAUGUUUAAUUUUUUAUGUACUCAUUCGGCUACCG
This 520-nucleotide ribosomal RNA is filed under the name uncultured Paraglomus. RNAcentral's name for it is "SSU rRNA". It matches the Rfam family "Eukaryotic small subunit ribosomal RNA", at positions 569 to 1089 of the family's 1831-position model. Lineage: Eukaryota; Fungi; Glomeromycota; Glomeromycetes; Paraglomerales; Paraglomeraceae. The record is from RNAcentral.